GAUGAACGCUGGCGGCGUGCCUAAUACAUGCAAGUCGAACGCAAAACCUUCGGGUUUUGAGUGGCGGACGGGUGAGUAACACGUGGGUAACCUGCCCAUCAGCCUGGGAUAACCACCGGAAACGGUGGCUAAUACCGGAUAUGUCUAUGGAUGAAAGUCGGAUUUAUCUGACACUGAUGGAUGGACCUGCGGCGCAUUAGCUAGUUGGUGAGGUAGUAGCUCACCAAGGCGACGAUGCGUAGCCGACCUGAGAGGGUGAUCGGCCACACUGGGACUGAGACACGGCCCAGACUCCUACGGGAGGCAGCAGUAGGGAAUCUUCCGCAAUGGACGCAAGUCUGACGGAGCAACGCCGCGUGAGUGAAGAAGGUUUUCGGAUCGUAAA
Molecule: ribosomal RNA, 385 nt
Filed under: uncultured bacterium
Lineage: Bacteria
Description: bacterial SSU rRNA
Rfam family: Bacterial small subunit ribosomal RNA
Source: RNAcentral